GACGGAGGAUGCAAGUGUUAUCCGGAAUCACUGGGCGUAAAGCGUCUGUAGGUCGUUCAAUAAGUCAACUGUUAAAUCUUGAGGCUCAACUUCAAAAUCGCAGUCGAAACUAUUAAACUAGAGUAUAGUAGGGGUAAAGGGAAUUUCCAGUGGAGCGGUGAAAUGCGUAGAGAUUGGAAAGACCACCGAUGGCGAAGGCACUCUACUGGGCCAUUACUGACACUGAGAGACGAAAGCUAGGGGAGCAAAUGGG
This 253-nucleotide ribosomal RNA is filed under the name uncultured bacterium. Its description in RNAcentral is "partial 16S ribosomal RNA". It matches the Rfam family "Bacterial small subunit ribosomal RNA", at positions 524 to 776 of the family's 1533-position model. The record is from RNAcentral.